GAAAUAGAACCUGAAACCGUGUGCUUACAAGUAGUCAGAGCCCGUUAAUGGGUGAUGGCGUGCCUUUUGUAGAAUGAACCGGCGAGUUACGAUUUGAUGCAAGGUUAAGCAGUAAAUGUGGAGCCGUAGCGAAAGCGAGUCUGAAUAGGGCGUUUAGUAUUUGGUCGUAGACCCGAAACCAGGUGAUCUACCCUUGGUCAGGUUGAAGUUCAGGUAACACUGAAUGGAGGACCGAACCGACUUACGUUGAAAAGUGAGCGGAUGAACUGAGGGUAGCGGAGAAAUUCCAAUCGAACCUGGAGAUAGCUGGUUCUCUCCGAAAUAGCUUUAGGGCUAGCCUCAAGUGAUGAUUAUUGGAGGUAGAGCACUGUUUGGACGAGGGGCCCCUCUCGGGUUACCGAAUUCAGACAAACUCCGAAUGCCAAUUAAUUUAACUUGGGAGUCAGAACAUGGGUGAUAAGGUCCGUGUUCGAAAGGGAAACAGCCCAGACCACCAGCUAAGGUCCCAAAAUAUAUGUUAAGUGGAAAAGGAUGUGGCGUUGCCCAGACAACUAGGAUGUUGGCUUAGAAGCAGCCAUCAUUUAAAGAGUGCGUAAUAGCUCACUAGUCGAGUGACACUGCGCCGAAAAUGUACCGGGGCUAAACAUAUUACCGAAGCUGUGGAUUGUCCUUUGGACAAUGGUAGGAGAGCGUUCUAAGGGCGUUGAAGCAUGAUCGUAAGGACAUGUGGAGCGCUUAGAAGUGAGAAUGCCGGUGUGAGUAGCGAAAGACGGGUGAGAAUCCCGUCCACCGAUUGACUAAGGUUUCCAGAGGAAGGCUCGUCCGCUCUGGGUUAGUCGGGUCCUAAGCUGAGGCCGACAGGCGUAGGCGAUGGAUAACAGGUUGAUAUUCCUGUACCACCUAUAAUCGUUUUAAUCGAUGGGGGGACGCAGUAGGAUAGGCGAAGCGUGCGAUUGGAUUGCACGUCUAAGCAGUAAGGCUGAGUAUUAGGCAAAUCCGGUACUCGUUAAGGCUGAGCUGUGAUGGGGAGAAGACAUUGUGUCUUCGAGUCGUUGAUUUCACACUGCCGAGAAAAGCCUCUAGAUAGAAAAUAGGUGCCCGUACCGCAAACCGACACAGGUAGUCAAGAUGAGAAUUCUAAGGUGAGCGAGCGAACUCUCGUUAAGGAACUCGGCAAAAUGACCCCGUAACUUCGGGAGAAGGGGUGCUCUUUAGGGUUAACGCCCAGAAGAGCCGCAGUGAAUAGGCCCAAGCGACUGUUUAUCAAAAACACAGGUCUCUGCUAAACCGUAAGGUGAUGUAUAGGGGCUGACGCCUGCCCGGUGCUGGAAGGUUAAGAGGAGUGGUUAGCUUCUGCGAAGCUACGAAUCGAAGCCCCAGUAAACGGCGGCCGUAACUAUAACGGUCCUAAGGUAGCGAAAUUCCUUGUCGGGUAAGUUCCGACCCGCACGAAAGGCGUAACGAUUUGGGCACUGUCUCAACGAGAGACUCGGUGAAAUCAUAGUACCUGUGAAGAUGCAGGUUACCCGCGACAGGACGGAAAGACCCCGUGGAGCUUUACUGUAGCCUGAUAUUGAAAUUCGGCACAGCUUGUACAGGAUAGGUAGGAGCCUUUGAAACGUGAGCGCUAGCUUACGUGGAGGCGCUGGUGGGAUACUACCCUAGCUGUGUUGGCUUUCUAACCCGCACCACUUAUCGUGGUGGGAGACAGUGUCAGGCGGGCAGUUUGACUGGGGCGGUCGCCUCCUAAAAGGUAACGGAGGCGCUCAAAGGUUCCCUCAGAAUGGUUGGAAAUCAUUCAUAGAGUGUAAAGGCAUAAGGGAGCUUGACUGCGAGACCUACAAGUCGAGCAGGGUCGAAAGACGGACUUAGUGAUCCGGUGGUUCCGCAUGGAAGGGCCAUCGCUCAACGGAUAAAAGCUACCCCGGGGAUAACAGGCUUAUCUCCCCCAAGAGUUCACAUCGACGGGGAGGUUUGGCACCUCGAUGUCGGCUCAUCGCAUCCUGGGGCUGUAGUCGGUCCCAAGGGUUGGGCUGUUCGCCCAUUAAAGCGGUACGCGAGCUGGGUUCAGAACGUCGUG
RNAcentral lists this ribosomal RNA (2080 nucleotides) under Staphylococcus aureus. RNAcentral's name for it is "partial 23S ribosomal RNA". It matches the Rfam family "Bacterial large subunit ribosomal RNA", at positions 540 to 2623 of the family's 2925-position model. The record is from RNAcentral. Lineage: Bacteria; Bacillati; Bacillota; Bacilli; Caryophanales; Staphylococcaceae.